GGCUCAGUAGGUUGGUCGUGCCACCGGUACGUACUGGUCUCACUGAUUCCUCCUUCCUGAAGAACCGUAAUGCCAUUAAUUUGGUGUUGCGGGGAAACAGGACUGUUACUUUGAAAAAAUUAGAGUGUAUAAAGCAAGCUAACGCUUGAAUACAUUAGCAUGGAAUAAUGAAAUAGGACGAUCGAUCCUAUUUUGUUGGUUUCUAGGAUUGACGUA
RNAcentral lists this ribosomal RNA (216 nucleotides) under Glomeromycotina sp. Its description in RNAcentral is "partial small subunit ribosomal RNA". The stretch from base 40 to 216 matches the Rfam family "Eukaryotic small subunit ribosomal RNA", at positions 686 to 864 of the family's 1831-position model. Lineage: Eukaryota; Fungi; Glomeromycota. The record is from RNAcentral.